AGUCAUAUGCUUCGUUCAAGGGCUAACCCAUGCACGUCUCACCGCAAAUGGUGCAACAGUGAAUCUGUGAAUGGCUCCUUACAUUACCAGUCAUCUACGUGAUAAAGUGUGCCUGGUCAAAGGCAGUGAAUCCUUUGAACAUCCACCAAAACCUUGUGGCUAAUACACGCUUGAAGCAGUCACCCAUGCUCAACACUCGGGAAACUCCCAGAAUUCACCUCGGGUGGGUCCAGUCAACCGGGGGUGGCGGAUGAACGCCCAGCUGAUACAAAAACCAGCGGCCAAACAGGCCAGUGUGUUGUCAUGGUUGACUCAGGCUGGCCCUCUGUGGCCGCAGUGUUGGCAAAUUCUGUGGUGGCCUUCCCCUCUGGGGGUUGUGUCACCCCUGCUUGAUCGCAAAAGCUUCUGACCUAUCACCUUGACUGUGGUGUAUUGAACCACAGUGGCUUUGACGGGUAACGAAAAAUCAGGGUUCGAUUCCGGAAAGGCAGCCUGAGAGACGGCUACCACUACCAAGGUGGGCAGCAGGCACGCAAAUUGCCCCAUGCAAAGACAGUCUGUGAGGCA
This 567-nucleotide ribosomal RNA is filed under the name uncultured eukaryote. RNAcentral's name for it is "bacterial SSU rRNA". It matches the Rfam family "Eukaryotic small subunit ribosomal RNA", at positions 22 to 466 of the family's 1831-position model. The record is from RNAcentral.